RNAcentral lists this transfer RNA (73 nucleotides) under Patescibacteria group bacterium. Its description in RNAcentral is "tRNA-Lys". It matches the Rfam family "tRNA". From Rfam's summary of the family: Transfer RNA (tRNA) molecules are approximately 80 nucleotides in length. Their secondary structure includes four short double-helical elements and three loops (D, anti-codon, and T loops). The record is from RNAcentral.
GGGGACGUAGCUCAGCUGGUAGAGCAGUCGGCUCUUAACCGAUCGGUCGUGGGUUCGAAUCCCACCGUCCUCA